CGGUAGCUCAGUUGGAUAGAGCAUCUGCCUUCUAAGCAGACGGUCUCGGGUUCGAAUCCCG
Molecule: transfer RNA, 61 nt
Filed under: human gut metagenome
Rfam family: tRNA
About the family: Transfer RNA (tRNA) molecules are approximately 80 nucleotides in length. Their secondary structure includes four short double-helical elements and three loops (D, anti-codon, and T loops).
Source: RNAcentral